This 507-nucleotide ribosomal RNA is filed under the name uncultured bacterium. RNAcentral's name for it is "bacterial SSU rRNA". It matches the Rfam family "Bacterial small subunit ribosomal RNA", at positions 791 to 1289 of the family's 1533-position model. The record is from RNAcentral.
UAGUCCUAGCUGUAAACGAUGUAGAUUAGGUGUUGGAGGAGUCGAUCCUUUCAGUGCCGAAGUUAACACAUUAAAUCUACCACCUGGGGAGUACGGUCGCAAGACUGAAACUCAAAGGAAUUGACGGGGACCCGCACAAGCGGUGGAGCAUGUGGUUUAAUUCGAGGCUACGCGAGGAACCUUACCUAGGCUUGACAUGAUAGAAGUAGUCCUGAUGAAAGUCGGGGCGACCGUAUCCAAUCGGAGUCUAUUACAGGUGCUGCAUGGCUGUCGUCAGCUCGUGCUGUGAAGUGUUGGGUUAAGUCCCGCAACGAGCGCAACCAUUGCCUUUAGUUGCCAGCGAAUAAUGUCGGGGACUCUAAAGGGACUGCCGGUGACAAACCGGAGGAAGGUGGAGAUGACGUCAAGUCAGCAUGGCCCUUACGCCUAGGGCGACACACGUGCUACAAUGGCCAGUACAAUGGGCAGCCAACCCGCGAGGGGAGCAAAUCCCAAAAAGCUGGCCUC